UCAUUCUGUAUAUAAGCAGAGUGAUUAGAAGCCUGAGAACUACAGCUGAGGACUGCUGCUAACCAGAUAUAUCUCUACCACUGGCUAUGUACAGUGCCUAAUAUUUCUCAACUUUUUACUUAGCAUAAGAUUCAGCUUCCAAAGGGUGAAAAUAAUAAAAGAAUUUGAAGCUCAAGUGAGAGAGGUUAUAGUUUUGGAAACUCUAUCUUGUACAAGAAAAUGAUGAUCUUCUAGAAACUCUGAUGAGGAGCCACAACCAAAUAGACUGUUAUA
RNAcentral lists this long non-coding RNA (273 nucleotides) under Homo sapiens (human). RNAcentral's name for it is "HSALNT0112134". Lineage: Eukaryota; Metazoa; Chordata; Mammalia; Primates; Hominidae. The record is from RNAcentral.